GGACAAGCUAAUUACCAGGAAAGUAGGGUGGACUCUAUUGAGAGAAAAAUAAGGGAAACAAUAUUGUAUCUUCUAGCAAGCCUAAGAAACAGGUCAAGAGACAUGUUCCUUACAAAACACCUUUUAUGUUUAGGUUAAGAUAUGACGAUUCUGGUAGUAAUGAUGAUAAAGGAAAGUGCCCUUCUCUGAAUUUCUUGGUGAUAAGGAUAAUGAUGAUGAAAAUCUUAUGGGUAACACAAUGAAUGAUAUUGAUGGCUCUGUAGAUAUAAAGGACACGCUUGAUGCUCAACACACUAUGGUGGAUAAAGGGGUUGCGAUUCUUAUGCGCCGUUUGUUCAUUGAUGUGGUAUGCAAAUGAUUGGUUAGGCAACAAAGUCACAUUGAGG
RNAcentral lists this long non-coding RNA (386 nucleotides) under Capsicum annuum. Its description in RNAcentral is "long non-coding RNA (CANN_LNC019614)". Lineage: Eukaryota; Viridiplantae; Streptophyta; Magnoliopsida; Solanales; Solanaceae. The record is from RNAcentral.